UAAACGUAAACAUUAUUUGUGGUUCAAUGACGUUGUCUUCUGGUUUCAUGGAUUCCGCACCUGGAGACUGGUCACCGUCAAGAUUUCCUGCAAACUAUGCAUGGUUAGUCCAACGCACAUUUGAUCUUCUUUUGAAGUAAUAUUAUUUUCGCUGCCAUCCUUGGGUUUACAUGAAUUAUUUUAGUGGAUAUGAAGUAUAUGGUUCUAU
RNAcentral lists this long non-coding RNA (208 nucleotides) under Helianthus annuus (common sunflower). RNAcentral describes it as "sRNA HanXRQr2_Chr16g0760801". The record is from RNAcentral. Lineage: Eukaryota; Viridiplantae; Streptophyta; Magnoliopsida; Asterales; Asteraceae.